Molecule: ribosomal RNA, 133 nt
Filed under: uncultured bacterium
Lineage: Bacteria
Description: partial 16S ribosomal RNA
Rfam family: Bacterial small subunit ribosomal RNA
Source: RNAcentral
GGAAUUUUGCGCAAUGGGGGAAACCCUGACGCAGCAACGCCGCGUGAGUGAUGAAGGCUUUCGGGUCGUAAAACUCUGUCAAGUGGGAAGAAAAUGCUUGAUGUUAAUACCAUCUCGCACUGACGGUACCACU